Molecule: ribosomal RNA, 652 nt
Filed under: Enterococcus sp. M154
Lineage: Bacteria; Bacillati; Bacillota; Bacilli; Lactobacillales; Enterococcaceae
Description: bacterial SSU rRNA
Rfam family: Bacterial small subunit ribosomal RNA
Source: RNAcentral
ACGCUUCUUUCCUCCCCAGUGCUUGCACUCAAUUGGAAAGAGGAGUGGCGGACGGGUGAGUAACACGUGGGUAACCUACCCAUCAGAGGGGGAUAACACUUGGAAACAGGUGCUAAUACCGCAUAACAGUUUAUGCCGCAUGGCAUAAGAGUGAAAGGCGCUUUCGGGUGUCGCUGAUGGAUGGACCCGCGGUGCAUUAGCUAGUUGGUGAGGUAACGGCUCACCAAGGCCACGAUGCAUAGCCGACCUGAGAGGGUGAUCGGCCACACUGGGACUGAGACACGGCCCAGACUCCUACGGGAGGCAGCAGUAGGGAAUCUUCGGCAAUGGACGAAAGUCUGACCGAGCAACGCCGCGUGAGUGAAGAAGGUUUUCGGAUCGUAAAACUCUGUUGUUAGAGAAGAACAAGGACGUUAGUAACUGAACGUCCCCUGACGGUAUCUAACCAGAAAGCCACGGCUAACUACGUGCCAGCAGCCGCGGUAAUACGUAGGUGGCAAGCGUUGUCCGGAUUUAUUGGGCGUAAAGCGAGCGCAGGGGGUUUCUUAAGUCUGAUGUGAAACCUCCGGGCUCAACCGGGGAGGGUCAUUGGAAACUGGGAGACUUGAGUGCAGAAGAGGAGAGUGGAAUUCCAUGUGUAGCGGUGAAAUGC